RNAcentral lists this long non-coding RNA (798 nucleotides) under Parus major (Great Tit). RNAcentral's name for it is "lncRNA (ENSPMJG00000004217.1)". Lineage: Eukaryota; Metazoa; Chordata; Aves; Passeriformes; Paridae. The record is from RNAcentral.
CCCCCCAGGUGUACCUGGAGCUGGGGUUCCCCCCAGGUGUGUCCCCAGGUGUACCCCAGCCCCAUUUCUCCCCCAGGUGUACCCCAGCCCCAUUUCUCCCCUCCCCAGGUGUACCUGGAGCUGGGGUUCCCCCCACAGUCCCAGCGCUGGAUCAUUGGGCAGAGCCUGUGCCGGGACGGGCGCAGCCUGAGCUCCUACGGCAUCCGGCACCACGGGGACCCGGCCUUCCUCUUCCUCCUGCCUGCAGCCCAGCCUGACCCCCACGGGCUGCUCAGGGCCCUGGGGAUGGAACAGGAGACACCUGGGACAGCCCAGCCUGACCCCCACGGGCUGCUGAGGGCCCUGGGGAUGGAACAGGAGACACCUGGGACAGGUAACCUUCAUCAUCAUCAUCCUCCUCAUCAUCCUUCUCCUUCCUCAUCCUCAUCAUCAUCCUGCUCCUUCCUCUUCCUCCUGCUCCUUCCUCUUCCUCCUGCCCGCGGCCACACCUGACCCACACGGGCUGCUGAGGGCCCUGGGGAUGGAACAGGAGACACCUGGGACAGCCCAGCCUGACCCCCACGGGCUGCUGAGGGCCCUGGGGAUGGAACAGGAGACACCUGGGACAGCCCAGCCUGACCCCCACGGGCUGCUGAGAGCCCUGGGGAUGGAACAGGAGACACCUGGGACAGGUAACCUUCAUCAUCAUCAUCAUCAUCAUCAUCCUGCUCCUUCCUCAUCCUCAUCAUCAUCCUGCUCCUUCCUCAUCCUCCUGCUCCUUCCUCUUCCUCCUGCCCGCGGCCACACCUGACCCCCACG